This 468-nucleotide ribosomal RNA is filed under the name uncultured bacterium. Its description in RNAcentral is "partial 16S ribosomal RNA". It matches the Rfam family "Bacterial small subunit ribosomal RNA", at positions 28 to 507 of the family's 1533-position model. The record is from RNAcentral.
GAUGAACGCUGGCGGCGUGCUUAACACAUGCAAGUCGAACGGAAAGGCCCUGCUUUUGUGGGGUGCUCGAGUGGCGAACGGGUGAGUAACACGUGAGUAACCUGCCCUUGACUUUGGGAUAACUUCAGGAAACUGGGGCUAAUACCGGAUAGGAGCUCCUGCUGCAUGGUGGGGGUUGGAAAGUUUCGGCGGUUGGGGAUGGACUCGCGGCUUAUCAGCUUGUUGGUGGGGUAGUGGCUUACCAAGGCUUUGACGGGUAGCCGGCCUGAGAGGGUGACCGGCCACAUUGGGACUGAGAUACGGCCCAGACUCCUACGGGAGGCAGCAGUGGGGAAUAUUGCACAAUGGGCGGAAGCCUGAUGCAGCGACGCCGCGUGCGGGAUGACGGCCUUCGGGUUGUAAACCGCUUUCGCCUGUGACGAAGCGUGAGUGGCGGUAAUGGGUAAAGAAGCACCGGCUAACUACGUG